RNAcentral lists this transfer RNA (85 nucleotides) under Candidatus Sungbacteria bacterium RIFCSPLOWO2_02_FULL_51_17. RNAcentral's name for it is "tRNA-Leu". It matches the Rfam family "tRNA". From Rfam's summary of the family: Transfer RNA (tRNA) molecules are approximately 80 nucleotides in length. Their secondary structure includes four short double-helical elements and three loops (D, anti-codon, and T loops). Lineage: Bacteria; Candidatus Sungiibacteriota. The record is from RNAcentral.
GCCGGGAUGGCGAAAUUGGCAGCCGCGCCUGGUUUAGAACCAUGUGGGGAGACCCGUGGGGGUUCAAGUCCCUCUCCCGGUACCA